RNAcentral lists this long non-coding RNA (199 nucleotides) under Lathyrus oleraceus (garden pea). RNAcentral's name for it is "Pisum sativum (pea) long non-coding RNA (PSAT_LNC027551)". Lineage: Eukaryota; Viridiplantae; Streptophyta; Magnoliopsida; Fabales; Fabaceae. The record is from RNAcentral.
UUGUUUAAAAGGUAGAGUAAAUUUGGGGUAUGACAGUUGUUACAAGUGUUAAAUAUAAAUAUAAGAUAACAUAUAUUGUGAAUGAACACAUAUUAUAAAACACAUUAGUAAUUUUAAUUAUAUCAAAUGAUUUUUUUUCGUGAAGUAAAAUUAUAGAUGUGGAUCUUAGUCCUAUAUUAAAUACAAAAAUUAGUAUUUG